RNAcentral lists this ribosomal RNA (253 nucleotides) under uncultured bacterium. RNAcentral describes it as "partial 16S ribosomal RNA". It matches the Rfam family "Bacterial small subunit ribosomal RNA", at positions 524 to 776 of the family's 1533-position model. The record is from RNAcentral.
UACAGAGGUCUCAAGCGUUGUUCGGAUUCAUUGGGCGUAAAGGGUGCGUAGGCGGCGCGGUAAGUCGGGUGUGAAAUCUCGGAGCUUAACUCCGAAACUGCAUUCGAUACUGCCGUGCUUGAGGACUGGAGAGGAUACUGGAAUUUACGGUGUAGCGGUGAAAUGCGUAGAUAUCGUAAGGAAGACCAGUGGCGAAGGCGGGUCUCUGGACAGUUCCUGACGCUGAGGCACGAAGGUCAGGGGAGCAAACGGG